GCCUUCGUGGUGUAGUGGUCAGCACGAUCGACUCGUAACGAGAGGCCCGUGGUUCGGUUCCUGGCGAAGGCG
Molecule: transfer RNA, 72 nt
Filed under: Stegodyphus mimosarum
Lineage: Eukaryota; Metazoa; Arthropoda; Arachnida; Araneae; Eresidae
Rfam family: tRNA
About the family: Transfer RNA (tRNA) molecules are approximately 80 nucleotides in length. Their secondary structure includes four short double-helical elements and three loops (D, anti-codon, and T loops).
Source: Rfam by way of RNAcentral